UACGUAGGGUGCAAGCGUUAUCCGGAAUUAUUGGGCGUAAAGAGCUCGUAGGCGGUUUGUCGCGUCUGCUGUGAAAACUGGAGGCUCAACCUCCAGCCUGCAGUGGGUACGGGCAAACUAGAGUGCGGUAGGGGAGACUGGAAUUCCUGGUGUAGCGGUGGAAUGCGCAGAUAUCAGGAGGAACACCGAUGGCGAAGGCAGAUCUCUGGGCCGUAACUGACGCUGAGGAGCGAAAGCAUGGGGAGCGAACAGG
This 253-nucleotide ribosomal RNA is filed under the name uncultured bacterium. Its description in RNAcentral is "partial 16S ribosomal RNA". It matches the Rfam family "Bacterial small subunit ribosomal RNA", at positions 524 to 776 of the family's 1533-position model. The record is from RNAcentral.